Molecule: ribosomal RNA, 253 nt
Filed under: uncultured prokaryote
Description: partial 16S ribosomal RNA
Rfam family: Bacterial small subunit ribosomal RNA
Source: RNAcentral
UACGGGGGGUGCAAGCAUUAAUCGGAUUUAUUGGGCGUAAAGGGCGCGUAGGCGGGGAUGUAAGUCAGAUGUGAAAUCCUGGGGCUCAACCUCAGGACUGCAUUUGAAACUGUAUCUCUAGAGGGUAGGAGGAGAAAACGGAAUUCCACAAGUAGCGGUGAAAUGCGUAGAUAUGUGGAAGAACACCGGUGGCGAAGGCGGUUUUCUAUCUUAUUCCUGACGCUGAUGCGCGAAAGCAAGGGGAUCAAACAGG